GACGAACGCUGGCGGCGUGCUUAACACAUGCAAGUCGAACGGAAAGGCCCUGCUUUUGUGGGGUGCUCGAGUGGCGAACGGGUGAGUAACACGUGAGUAACCUGCCCUUGACUUUGGGAUAACUUCAGGAAACUGGGGCUAAUACCGGAUAGGAUCUCCUGCUGCAUGGUGGGGGUUGGAAAGUUUCGGCGGUUGGGGAUGGACUCGCGGCUUAUCAGCUUGUUGGUGGGGUAGUGGCUUACCAAGGCUUUGACGGGUAGCCGGCCUGAGAGGGUGACCGGCCACAUUGGGACUGAGAUACGGCCCAGACUCCUACGGGAGGCAGCAGUGGGGAAUAUUGCACAAUGGGCGGAAGCCUGAUGCAGCAACGCCGCGUGCGGGAUGACGGCUUUCGGGUUGUAAACCGCUUUCGACUGUGACGAAGCGUGAGUGACGGUAAUGGGUAAAGAAGCACCGGCUAACUACGUG
RNAcentral lists this ribosomal RNA (468 nucleotides) under uncultured bacterium. Its description in RNAcentral is "partial 16S ribosomal RNA". It matches the Rfam family "Bacterial small subunit ribosomal RNA", at positions 28 to 507 of the family's 1533-position model. The record is from RNAcentral.